ACUCCUACGGGAGGCAGCAGUGGGGAAUUUUGGACAAUGGGCGAAAGCCUGAUCCAGCAAUGCCGCGUGAGUGAAGAAGGCCUUCGGGUUGUAAAGCUCUUUUGUCAGGGAAGAAACGGUGAAAGCUAAUAUCUUUUGCUAAUGACGGUACCUGAAGAAUAAGCACCGGCUAACUACGUGCCAGCAGCCGCGGUAAUACGUAGGGUGCAAGCGUUAAUCGGAAUUACUGGGCGUAAAGCGUGCGCAGGCGGUUUUGUAAGUCUGAUGUGAAAUCCCCGGGCUCAACCUGGGAAUUGCAUUGGAGACUGCAAGGCUAGAAUCUGGCAGAGGUGGGUAGAAUUCCACGUGUAGCAGUGAAAUGCGUAGAUAUGUGGAGGAACACCGAUGGCGAAGGCAGCCCCCUGGGUCAAGAUUGACGCUCAUGCACGAAAGCGUGGGGAGCAAACAGGAUUAGAUACCCGAGUAUUCCCAUG
RNAcentral lists this ribosomal RNA (473 nucleotides) under uncultured organism. RNAcentral's name for it is "partial 16S ribosomal RNA". It matches the Rfam family "Bacterial small subunit ribosomal RNA", at positions 335 to 799 of the family's 1533-position model. The record is from RNAcentral.